RNAcentral lists this non-coding RNA (26 nucleotides) under Rattus norvegicus (Norway rat). Lineage: Eukaryota; Metazoa; Chordata; Mammalia; Rodentia; Muridae. The record is from RNAcentral.
UGGGCACCGUGGGCCAACCCUGCAGG